Molecule: non-coding RNA, 95 nt
Organism: Saitoella complicata NRRL Y-17804
Lineage: Eukaryota; Fungi; Ascomycota; Saitoellomycetes; Saitoellales; Saitoellaceae
Source: the annotation of a RefSeq genome assembly
GGCCCAAUGGUCUAGUAGCAUGAUUGUCGCUUCGGGUAACUCCCACCUUUACGGGUACUUGUGACAGGUCCCGGGUUCAAUUCCCGGUUGGGCCC